RNAcentral lists this ribosomal RNA (550 nucleotides) under Hyperolius tuberculatus (rainforest reed frog). RNAcentral's name for it is "partial 16S ribosomal RNA". It matches the Rfam family "Bacterial large subunit ribosomal RNA", at positions 1817 to 2596 of the family's 2925-position model. The record is from RNAcentral. Lineage: Eukaryota; Metazoa; Chordata; Amphibia; Anura; Hyperoliidae.
CGCCUCUUGCUAAAAUAUAAGAGGUCCCGCCUGCCCAGUGAACUAAUUUAACGGCCGCGGUAUCUUGACCGUGCAAAGGUAGCAUAAUCAAUUGUUCUUUAAAUAAGGACUAGUAUGAACGGCACCACGAGGGUUUAACUGUCUCCCUAUUCUAAUCAAUGAAAUUGAUCUCCCCGUGAAGAAGCGGGGAUAUAACUAUAAGACGAAAAGACCCCAUGGAGCUUUAAACUUAUUUUCAAUUACCAAAACCCAAGACAUAUAUCCGGUAAAAAUGAUAAUCGUUUUCGGUUGGGGCGACCCUGGAGAAAAAUAAAUCCUCCAAGCUGAAUAGACUAAAAUCUAAUGUUAGAGAAACAACUCAAACAAUCAAAACCUUGACAAAAUGACCCAGAUUCUAUCUGAUCAACGAACCAAGUUACCCUGGGGAUAACAGCGCAAUCCAUUUCAAGAGCCCUUAUCGACAAAUGGGUUUACGACCUCGAUGUUGGAUCGGGAUAUCCUAGCAGCGCAGCCGUUGCUUAAGGUUCGUUUGUUCAACGAUUAAUAAUCC